UUAGAGAUUGUUUGCAAACAUACCUCACAAUUGAUCACUGCGUACUGGUGAGUCGCCAAACCAUGAAUGAGAACAUCUGAUGUGUGUGAAGAUUAAAGAACAAGGGGUUUGAAAUCAGUUCUAUUUUCAAGUUUUCAAGGCGUUUCACCUAUUGAGUAUCAACAGGUUCCAUCUAAAUGAGAUAAUGCUCUUUCAAGAAAUUCUUAUUGAUAGUUCAAAUUACCGUAACUCUAUGAUCCAUGGCCUUUUUUUCUAAGUAGAGUUUUAUUGGAACACAGCCACACCCACUCAUUUACGUAUUGUCUAUGGCUGCUUUCAGGCUGCAACAGCAAAUUUGAGUAGUUCUGGCAAAGACUGUAUGACCACCCACAAGGCCUAAAAUAUUUACUGUCUGGCCUUUUACAGGAAAACUUUGCUAACCCGUACUGUAAGUAGUCCUAUCUUUUAGGUUCAAAUUGAACCUAUCUUUUAGGUUCAUAAUCCAAAGGGGCUCAACAUCCCAAAAUACUGUUUGAAUCAUCAGAGAAAGUUGUGGUUGGGAGAGUAGUACAUUAGGGCCUGCACUAACCUACAUGGUGCCUUUGUGCAGAUUGGGGAAAGGUGCUCCUUUAGACGUUCACUGUAAUAUCGUACUUAUUUCUAUAACAAGACUCUUACUGCCAUCUGCCAUAAAAGUACUUCAUAAUGUUUGCAAUAUGACUUGCACUCCCCUGUACAACUGUAUGCAGCAGCCCCAUAUAGUAAUGUGGUCUGGUAAAAAGAACACCACUUGGAGUCACAGACCUGGGUUCCACUUCCAGCUCUGAAACUAACCUGCUGAUAUCUUGGGCAAGCCACAUAAUCUGACUAGGCCUCUGUUUUCUUACCUUUAAAAUGUAAAUAGCUUAAAGUUGUUUUGAGAAAUUAAAUAAGUUAGUAGACAUAAUGUUGCUUUUUAAAGGCUUACAGCUCUGCGAAAUCAAACUCCAAUUAUGUUUUGGACAGCUUCUAUAGUUCUAGAAGUGUAAUAGGUCCUGAAGAGAAUGAAAUUUGUUUAAAGAGCUUAUAAUCUAACUGGAAAGUUGUGCACAUGAACUGCACUGGAAAGUUACAAUCUAACAUAAAAAAAUUGUGUAUGUUUGAACUAAUUGGAGCACUGGUAAGACUGAUUUGCAAUUACUGACCUCCUACUAUAUGCCAGAUGUUGUGCUAAGCUCCUAACAUGCUUUAUCUCACAUGUGUGAUCUUUAUAUUAGCCGUAUAAUGUAGGUAUUAUUAUCUCCAUUUUACAAAUAAGGAAAAAUAAUUGUCAUUUAUUACUCAUUUACUAUGUUCUAAAUACUAUUCUAAGUGCUUUAUAUAUUUUAACUCAUUUUAACUCAUUUUCAUCCUCACAAUACCCUAUCAGAUAGGUACCACUAUUCCCAUUUUCAUCUGAGGAAAUUUAUUCAGAGAUUAAAUUAGUGCUUUCCCAUCUUUUUCGCAGGAUGGCACACAUAGAAAAUUCUAAUAUUUGUUUGACAUCCUGGGAUAAAUUUGAGGGGAUUUGGGGCACCUAUAUAGGGCUUGGUGAAAAAUUCAGUACUGUAUUAAUAAUUUGACUCACUGAGAUGCUUCAGUGGAGGAUUAGGAGAGGUAUACAUGAGGUAGUCACUCAGACCACUCUGGCCGUGGGUACUAAGUGUAAAGUAUGCAGCAAAAUAACAAAGACUGUUCAAGAAAUCUCACAGGAAGCCAUACAAAUAUUGUUCAAAUGUUAACUUCAACUGUUGUAAAAUGAAUACUUACAAAAAUUGCUUUAAAUAUUUUAUCAAAAGAAUGUACAACCAAUAGUGUUUUGUGGUGUACCUACAACCUAUUCGUGCUUGGUAGCUCUGUUAAAUUACUUGCAAGACAAAUGGCUAAUAGGUGGUUGACUUGAAUCCAGUCACAUGAAACUGCCUGACUCUUAAGUCUGUUCUUCUAGCCUCUGUACAGUCUUGCCCUCCAGCAGUGAAAAACCAACCUGUGUGACUCAUACUUCAUUUCUCCUUAAGAGUAUUUUAUUAUUUGAAGUUUGAUCAUCGAGGCUCACUCUAAGGAUGAAGUUAUUAACCAUGGUCUCCAAUUAACCUUGUUCCCCAUCCCAUUGCCGUACAGUUUUAGAACUGGCAUUCCACACUUUCUCCUAUUCACUCUCUACCCAUAUUCACAACAGGAAAUAGAUGGGCAGGCGAGACAAGUGAAGAUUCUGUGAGUCGAUGGGCAGCAGACUGCCCCUGCGCUCUGGAGACCCCUGCUUGGGCUGCCUGUCUUUGAACCUCGGCUUGCCUGCAUCCGCUGGAAGUUGAGUCCUAGCAGAGUGUCCAUUCCCAGCUCAGCCUGCUGUGCUUACAUAGAGAUGCUAGAUUAUAAUAAAUGACUCUCACUUACCCUACCCCUAAAUGCAGGAGGAACUCUACAUGUGAUUCUAUUUGCCUUCUGUGCUUCAAAAGAUAUACCUCUGAGCAGAAACAAUUUCCCCGGUGUGCAUCAGAUCGCCCACCAUCCCCGUGCAGGUAAAUAUUCUGUGACUGUAGUUAUAUAUAUAUAUAGUUUUCAUCUGACGCUUGAUAUUUCGUGUGUGUUUUACCUAAUGAUGGUUUGUCUAAUUUCCAAGCCCACUUGCAUUUGAAUUUCAUACUCCCAGCUCCUGCAGGGUGGGGAAAGCUUAAGGAGGUAGAAGACACAGAUGGUAUUUUAUUUCUGUCUUUGUCUGGCGUGCUGAGUGACUGGUCUGCAGGUGGUGAUAUGUGGCAGGACGUCUGGGGCAAGGUUAGUGACCCAUUAAGGUGUCCUGAACUCUGAUUAGAGAGAGCUUGGAGCAAACAGAGCUGUCAACUCUCAGUUUCUUUUUGAUUAACCUUCUUCCUCUUAACCCCUGGAGGCCACUUAUCCUUCCCACCCCUAAGAAAAGACAGCGUUAAAGCCUGAGGUCAUUGCUCAGUGAAAGCCUCGGGAGCUGAUUGGGCCAGAAAGGGCCUCUGUCAGCAGUCAUUCCAUUAUCAGACUCUCUAGUGACAGGUGAGCUCAUGCCCUGUGAUUCACGGAGCUCCUAAGCUAAAAUGGCUCUCAGAGGAGCAGCUUCUCAAGGAAGAGUGAAGAUGCUUACGGAAACCUACUGAUGCGGUUGUACCUGAAAGGGGAUUAAAGUGGCUUAAUUCAAAUUUUGCAAUUUAGAAAGCACCUGUUGCACGCCACCCUUUGUCUGAGAGAAGUGUUUUCAGUAGCUGAUCCCUGGUGAAUCCAUGCAGAAGGCCACCUCCCCACGAGUGGGCUGCGUCUGUGAGUGAGCAGUGAACUGCUUCUUCCUCAGGAGUGAUGGAGUUCAGCAACGAGUAAGGGGAGAGCAGGUUCUGCCUGCAACUGCUUUUCUUGGCAGUUGGUUAGUG
Long non-coding RNA from Rhinolophus ferrumequinum (greater horseshoe bat), 3389 nucleotides. RefSeq lists it as uncharacterized. The transcript has 3 exons. The record is from RefSeq and is a predicted model, not a curated record. Lineage: Eukaryota; Metazoa; Chordata; Mammalia; Chiroptera; Rhinolophidae.